This 394-nucleotide long non-coding RNA is filed under the name Pogona vitticeps (central bearded dragon). RNAcentral describes it as "lncRNA (ENSPVIG00000023435.1)". The record is from RNAcentral. Lineage: Eukaryota; Metazoa; Chordata; Lepidosauria; Squamata; Agamidae.
UUCAUAGGCAGAACAUGACACAGGAGAGCUGUGAGUGAAUCUGCACAUGAUGUGUAGCUUGUUCUAAACAUCAUCCUAAGUCCUUUUGGACUUGGCAUAAGGUUUGAACAACUUGCUGUGAUGCAAACCUUACAAAACAUCAAUAUGACUCUUACUAUUAUGUUUUAUCCUCCAGGCAUUCACAACGAAAGGCUGUAGAGUGGAGACUGCAGCCUCCCUGUGCACACAUUCAAAUACACAUCUGUGAUACAUCUCAGAAUCUCGGACGGCACAGAAUCCUCCUUGUUGUCUACAGAGGAAAACAUAGUGUGACCUUCAUGCUUUUCCACACAAGGCAAACCGAAGGUUGUGUGGGGGAGGUGUUUCAUAUUAGGAAACUACCCUUUGGAACAGC